UUGGAGGGCAAGUCUGGUGCCAGCAGCCGCGGUAAUUCCAGCUCCAAUAGCGUAUAUUAAAGUUGUUGCAGUUAAAAAGCUCGUAGUUGAAUUUCGGGAUCGAAUUGUUGGUCGUGCCUCGGUACGCACUGGCAUUAUCGGUUCCUACCUUCUGAAGAACCGCGAUGUCAUUAAUUUGGUGUCGUGGGGAAUCAGGACUGUUACUUUGAAAAAAUUAGAGUGUUUAAAGCAGGCUUACGCUUGAAUACAUUAGCAUGGAAUAAUGAAAUAGGACGUUUGAUUCUAUUUUGUUGGUUUCUAGGAUCGACGUAAUGAUUAAUAGGGAUAGUUGGGGGCAUUAGUAUUCAAUUGUCAGAGGUGAAAUUCUUGGAUUUAUUGAAGACUAACUACUGCGAAAGCAUUUGCCAAGGAUGUUUUCAUUAAUCAAGAACGAAAGUUAGGGGAUCGAAGACGAUCAGAUACCGUCGUAGUCUUAACCAUAAACUAUGCCGACUAGGGAUCGGAUGAUGUUAAUUUUUUAAUGACUCAUUCGGCGCCUUACGGGAAAC
Molecule: ribosomal RNA, 548 nt
Filed under: uncultured Glomeromycotina
Lineage: Eukaryota; Fungi; Glomeromycota
Description: SSU rRNA
Rfam family: Eukaryotic small subunit ribosomal RNA
Source: RNAcentral